AUUGAACGCUGGCGGCAUGCUUUACACAUGCAAGUCGAACGGCAGCGCGGGCUUCGGCCUGGCGGCGAGUGGCGAACGGGUGAGUAAUGCAUCGGAACGUGCCCAGUAGUGGGGGAUAGCCCGGCGAAAGCCGGAUUAAUACCGCAUACGACCUGAUGGUGAAAGCGGGGGACCGAAAGGCCUCGCGCUAUUGGAGCGGCCGAUGUCGGAUUAGCUAGUUGGUGGGGGAAAGGCUUACCAAGGCGACGAUCCGUAGCUGGUCUGAGAGGACGACCAGCCACACUGGGACUGAGACACGGCCCAGACUCCUACGGGAGGCAGCAGUGGGGAAUUUUGGACAAUGGGGGCAACCAUGAUCCAGCCAUGCCGCGUGCGGGAAAAAGGCCUUCGGGUUGUAAACCGCUUUUGUUCGGGAAGAAAUCCUCUGGGCUAAUACCCCGGGGGGAUGACGGUACCGGAAGAAUAAGCACCGGCUAACUACGUG
Molecule: ribosomal RNA, 484 nt
Filed under: uncultured bacterium
Lineage: Bacteria
Description: partial 16S ribosomal RNA
Rfam family: Bacterial small subunit ribosomal RNA
Source: RNAcentral